UUGUAAUCAAGUGGCCAUGAAAAUGUAUAUAACUGAUUAUAUAUAAAUGAGAGGCCUUAGGGUCGAAACGAUCUUAACCUAUUCUCAAACUUUAAAUCGGGAACAACCUCACCUUUCUUGGUAUGAAGGUUGUGGUUGUGAUAUAAUGUGCCCAGUGAGCCACUUAUGGUAAGCAGAACUGGCGCUGUGGGGUGAACCAAACGUAAUGUUACGGUGCCCAAAUUAACAACCGCUGCACCACAUACGUCUAAUGAUCACAUCAUAAG
RNAcentral lists this ribosomal RNA (266 nucleotides) under Glossina morsitans morsitans. RNAcentral describes it as "eukaryotic large subunit ribosomal RNA". It matches the Rfam family "Eukaryotic large subunit ribosomal RNA", at positions 971 to 1246 of the family's 3401-position model. The record is from RNAcentral. Lineage: Eukaryota; Metazoa; Arthropoda; Insecta; Diptera; Glossinidae.